Non-coding RNA from Acanthosepion pharaonis, 111 nucleotides. The record is from the annotation of a GenBank genome assembly. Lineage: Eukaryota; Metazoa; Mollusca; Cephalopoda; Sepiida; Sepiidae.
GAUGGCCAUAUGACGAUGAAACACCGGUUCUCGUACGAUCACCGAAGUUAAGUAACGCCAAGCCUGAUCACUACCUAGAUGGGUGACUGCUCAAGAAUAUCAGAUGUUGGA